RNAcentral lists this ribosomal RNA (143 nucleotides) under uncultured eukaryote. Its description in RNAcentral is "partial small subunit ribosomal RNA". It matches the Rfam family "Bacterial small subunit ribosomal RNA", at positions 1383 to 1525 of the family's 1533-position model. The record is from RNAcentral.
GUACACACCGCCCGUCACACCAUGGGAGUGGGUUUUACCUUAAGCUGAUGAGCUAACCGCAAGGAGGCAGUCAAUCACGGUAGAAUUCGCGACUGGGGUGAAGUCGUAACAAGGUAGCCGUAGGUGAACCUGCAGAAGGAUCA